ACACGACUACAUUAGAUACCCGUGUAGUCCUAGCCGUAAACGAUACUCGCUAGGUGUCGGCCACGGUGCGACCGUUGUCGGUGCCGUAGGGAAGCCGUGAAGCGAGCCACCUGGGAAGUACGGCCGCAAGGCUGAAACUUAAAGGAAUUGGCGGGGGAGCACAACAACAGGUGGAGCUUGCGGUUUAAUUGGAUUCAACGCCGGAAAUCUUACCGGGACCGACAGCAACAUGAAGGCCAAGCUGAAGACUUUGCCGGAUUAGCUG
This 265-nucleotide ribosomal RNA is filed under the name uncultured archaeon. RNAcentral describes it as "partial 16S ribosomal RNA". It matches the Rfam family "Archaeal small subunit ribosomal RNA", at positions 719 to 982 of the family's 1478-position model. The record is from RNAcentral.